Pelobates cultripes (western spadefoot toad) is the source of this 331-nucleotide non-coding RNA. NCBI's taxonomy places the organism in Eukaryota, Metazoa, Chordata, Amphibia, Anura, Pelobatidae. The record is from the annotation of a GenBank genome assembly.
CCUCCUAUUACUCCAUAUAACACUCUCUAUAACCUCUCCUAUUACUCCAUAUAACCCUCCCUAUAACUCCAUAUAACCCUUCCUAUAACUCCUCAUAUUACUCCAUAUAACCCUCCCUAUAACCCCUCCUAUUACUCCAUAUAACCCUCCUAUUACUCCAUAUAACCCUCCCUAUAACUCCUAUUACUCCAUAUAACUCCUCCUAUUACUCCAUAUAUCCCUCCCUAUAACUCCUCAUAUUACUCCAUAUAACCCUUCCUAUAACUCCUCCUAUUACUCCAUAUAACAUCUAUAUAACUCAUCCUAUUACCCCUAUCACUCCUCCUAUUAC